AUUGAACGCUGGCGGCAGGCCCAACACAUGCAAGUCGAGCGGAUGAAGGGAGCUUGCUCCUGGAUUCAGCGGCGGACGGGUGAGUAAUGCCUAGGAAUCUGCCUGGUAGUGGGGGAUAACGUCCGGAAACGGGCGCUAAUACCGCAUACGUCCUGAGGGAGAAAGUGGGGGAUCUUCGGACCUCACGCUAUCAGAUGAGCCUAGGUCGGAUUAGCUAGUUGGUGGGGUAAAGGCCCACCAAGGCGACGAUCCGUAACUGGUCUGAGAGGAUGAUCAGUCACACUGGAACUGAGACACGGUCCAGACUCCUACGGGAGGCAGCAGUGGGGAAUAUUGGACAAUGGGCGAAAGCCUGAUCCAGCCAUGCCGCGUGUGUGAAGAAGGUCUUCGGAUUGUAAAGCACUUUAAGUUGGGAGGAAGGGCAGUAAGUUAAUACCUUGCUGUUUUGACGUUACCAACAGAAUAAGCACCGGCUAACUUCGUG
This 484-nucleotide ribosomal RNA is filed under the name uncultured bacterium. RNAcentral's name for it is "partial 16S ribosomal RNA". It matches the Rfam family "Bacterial small subunit ribosomal RNA", at positions 30 to 507 of the family's 1533-position model. The record is from RNAcentral.